Molecule: long non-coding RNA, 1401 nt
Organism: Solanum lycopersicum (tomato)
Lineage: Eukaryota; Viridiplantae; Streptophyta; Magnoliopsida; Solanales; Solanaceae
Source: RefSeq, a predicted model, not a curated record
CUCUAGUCAUUUUCAAUGGAACUGGGUACCGAUCAUGGAGGUGAGGCAUACAUCGAGCACUUUUUGUAAAGAACAAGACUGGAUUUAUCAAUGAUAAGAUCCCAAAGCCAACUCUUACUUCACUUAGAUUUGACCAAUAGGAAUAAUGGGAUGACAUGAUAACUUCUUGGCUGUUAAACUUGCUUUCAAAAGAUUUAGUUGAUAGCUUACAAUAUGUGAACAAUGCUAAGGAGUUAUGGGCCGAAUUGACAGAUAGGUACAACCAGACCAAUGGUGCGAAGUUAUACCAACUUUACAUAGGAUAUGAAUAAUCUCACUCAAGAAAACCUUGAUGCCACAUGUUACUACACACUAACAUCAAAAGGCUAUUGGAAGAACUGAACAUCUUGGAUACAAACACACAAUAUACUUGUUUGUUCACUUGUGGUGGGAAAACUAAAUUUCACAAGGCAGAGCAUGAUGGGUGACUUAUUCAAUUACUAAUAGACUUGAAUGAAGUCUACAUAGUUAUCCGAGGGAGCAUUUUGAUGAUGCAUCUCCUAACUACUAUGCUUCAGGCAUUCUCCAUCUUAGUCCAGGAAGAAAAACAUCACGAGGUCAGACAUCACAGUCAUAUUCACUUAGAUUCAACCUCACCGAGUGUGACAACAAGAUGUAGCACAAAUUUCAUCCACUCUAAUGUAUCCAAUAGUAACAAUAAUUUCAAUUUUAGGACAAACUAUUUUCCAUAGCUGCUUCCAAGCCAUAUUUCACCAACAAUUGUUCUUCUAGAUAAUCCACAGGAUCACCCAUCCACUCAGGCAAUUUGAAUGUUCUUUUAGGACAUAUCCAUCAAAUCAUGGAAAAGAACACGUGUUUUGUAACUAAUGUAAGAAGUUAGGUCACUAAAGACAAAUGUUAUAGACUAUAUGGCUUCCGUAAGGAUUUUAAAUUCACCAAAAAAGGAACUCAAGGUCACCAUCAACUAUACUUGGAAACACAGAGGCUUGCUACCUGAGAAUUGUGAGAGUGCUCAUUUUCCAUGAUCAGAUCACGGUUUUAUAACAGUCUCACACACGAUUAGUACAACAAGUUGCUCACUCUUUUAGGAAGCAUUCAUGUUCGUAAGGUACGCGCUAGUGAUGGCCAGAUGAACCUGUAGACAAGCUCUUCAAUGGUGUAGGUGGAAGAUGAAAAGGAUCAUGAAGGACAGCUUGGAUUCUAGUGUUGUUCAAGCAAAGUUGAAGUAUGUCCUCAAUUGACUCGAGGGCAUAUAUGUCUUUUAUUUUAAAGUGUUGUAAUAGACUAAGUAUUUCUAUAUUCGUAUUGUAUGGGUCGUGUCCCAAGUAUUCUUGAGUCUAAGAAUGACAUAUGUUGAGACUUCGCAUUUCUAUGAUAAUAAUAUGAAAAUAUGUUUUAAGA